This 329-nucleotide unclassified non-coding RNA is filed under the name soil metagenome. RNAcentral describes it as "partial contains 5.8S ribosomal RNA, internal transcribed spacer 2, and large subunit ribosomal RNA". The stretch from base 1 to 120 matches the Rfam family "5.8S ribosomal RNA", at positions 35 to 154 of the family's 154-position model. The record is from RNAcentral.
GAUGAAGAACGCAGCGAAAUGCGAUAAGUAAUGUGAAUUGCAGAAUUCAGUGAAUCAUCGAAUCUUUGAACGCACAUUGCGCCCCCUGGUAUUCCGGGGGGCAUACCUGUCCGAGCGUCAUUACAACCCUCAAGCUCAGCUUGGUGUUGGGCCCCGCCGCCCCGGCGGGCCCUAAAGUCAGUGGCGGUGCCGUCCGGCUCCGAGCGUAGUAAUUCUUCUCGCUCUGGAGGUCCGGUCGUGUGCUCGCCAGCAACCCCCAAUUUUUUUCAGGUUGACCUCGGAUCAGGUAGGGAUACCCGCUGAACUUAAGCAUAUCAAUAAGCGGAGGA